This 253-nucleotide ribosomal RNA is filed under the name uncultured bacterium. RNAcentral describes it as "partial 16S ribosomal RNA". It matches the Rfam family "Bacterial small subunit ribosomal RNA", at positions 524 to 776 of the family's 1533-position model. The record is from RNAcentral.
UACGAAGGGGGCUAGCGUUGUUCGGAAUUACUGGGCGUAAAGCGCACGUAGGCGGAUUGUUAAGUUAGGGGUGAAAUCCCAGGGCUCAACCCUGGAACUGCCUCUAAUACUGGCAAUCUAGAGUCCGGAAGAGGUGAGUGGAAUUCCGAGUGUAUAGGUGAAAUUCGUAGAUAUUCGGAGUAACACCAGUGGCGAAGGCGGCUCACUGGUCCGGUACUGACGCUGAGGUGCUAAAGCGUGGGGAGCAAACUGG